Molecule: ribosomal RNA, 492 nt
Filed under: uncultured bacterium
Lineage: Bacteria
Description: partial 16S ribosomal RNA
Rfam family: Bacterial small subunit ribosomal RNA
Source: RNAcentral
AGUGAACGCUGGCGGUAGGCCUAACACAUGCAAGUCGAACGGCAGCACAGUAAGAGCUUGCUCUUACGGGUGGCGAGUGGCGGACGGGUGAGGAAUACAUCGGAAUCUACUUUUUCGUGGGGGAUAACGUAGGGAAACUUACGCUAAUACCGCAUACGACCUACGGGUGAAAGCAGGGGAUCUUCGGACCUUGCGCGAUUGAAUGAGCCGAUGUCGGAUUAGCUAGUUGGCGGGGUAAAGGCCCACCAAGGCGACGAUCCGUAGCUGGUCUGAGAGGAUGAUCAGCGACACUGGAACUGAGACACGGUCCAGACUCCUACGGGAGGCAGCAGUGGGGAAUAUUGGACAAUGGGGGCAAGCCUGAUCCAGCCAUACCGCGUGGGUGAAGAAGGCCUUCGGGUUGUAAAGCCCUUUUGUUGGGAAAGAAAAGCAGCAGGUUAAUACCCCGCCGUUCUGACGGUACCCAAAGAAUAAGCACCGGCUAACUUCGUG